UUCUGCAAUUUAGAAUACCCAAUUAGGGAUAUGCAUUGUUGAAUUAGGGAUUUGGAUUUGUAUAACAAAUCCCUAAUUAGGGAUGUGUAUUGUCGAAUCCCUAGAUGGGGAUUUGCAUUGUUGAAUCCCUUUUUAGUGAUUUGUAGAUGUAGGAUAUCUCUAAACUGACAUCAAUCAAGCAUAUCUUUAAAAUGAUACUGAUCAACUCUAGGUGGUCCAUGUUGAAAUAAGCCAGAUGGGGUAGGUAUAUAGAGUUGCUCAAGCUUUCUUAACUGUGCAUUUGAUUUUUUAGUCUGCGUAGCAUUCUAUAAAUGAUCAAGGAACAGUUGUCCAAAGUCCACCCACAAAGCCUAUAGAGAUAGGUCAGUGGAUGUUGUGGUUUAUGGUCAGAUGAUGGUUCAGACAGGGUGGAGCUUUAGAAAAAAGAGAGUAUAUGGCAUGGUUUUAUAUAUCAUCCUUUGUAAUAGUAAAGAUAUUGUGAUUAUUAUCUACAGGUUUUGUGCCUUGAAGGGUGAGAUGUUAUCAGUUCGGCGGAGAAAAGGAUAUUCACCUGUAUUCUUCUUUUUCAUUUGCAAAUUGACAUGACUCACGAGCCCACCUUUCAUCAACGACAAAAAUUUCUCCAUUCGGCUGAUUUGUGGUUCGCGGCCUACCAAGAUGCUUCUUUUUCUAAGUCUUUAUAUGGAUUGUGAAGGAGGGAAGUGAAGAUUUCACCAUUGAAAGAUAUUCCUAAUGCCAACUCAGGUUAUCGGCUUCAACUUUCUGGAUUAGGAAGGCGUCAAAAAGUUCUCUCAGUUGUAUUUCUGGUGAGAUUUGGUGUUCUAGAGGCUGGAGCCUUUGGUGUUUCUCAGUCUAGGAAACGAGCAUUCACAUGGGCAACUUCUCUAGAAGAGACACUCCCAGAGUGGCCAGAGCCAAUGCACGUCUUUGCAAGCCCAACACUGAAAAUCACAUUACCAAGGGAUGUACAGUAUGCUGCCGUCAAGAGUACAGGUGGAGGGGCACCCUUCGGUGUAAUAACGGUGAGAGAUACAAUUGGAGAUUUCCCACCUGUUGGAAAUGGAGCAUCUAAAACAGAG
Magnolia sinica is the source of this 1079-nucleotide long non-coding RNA. RefSeq lists it as uncharacterized. The transcript has 3 exons. The record is from RefSeq and is a predicted model, not a curated record. NCBI's taxonomy places the organism in Eukaryota, Viridiplantae, Streptophyta, Magnoliopsida, Magnoliales, Magnoliaceae.